AUGGCCAGUCUGGGUCAACAUGUGCCAAAGGACAUCAUUUCGUGGUGGUAAACGACUGUCGAAUGCGUUCUUCUGGCCCAUAAAUCAUGUCGGCCAAGUUGGGCUAUUUAGCCAGACAAUAUUUAUGUUAAAUGUCCGCUGGGAGGGAUAAAAUUCACUAAACAAAAAUAUAAAAUUAAAAUAGAAAUAAUAAUACUAGGGAAAACCCAAUAAAAACUCCAUUUAUUUUCUUUCUUCUUAUACAUUAUGUAUAUAUAUAUUUUUAAUAACUCUCUAGUGUAUAUAUAAAUUAAAAUAAAUACAUUUUUUUGUUUGUUUUUUUCUUGUUGGUUUUGCUUUUUUUUAAUAAUAUUUAUCAUUAAUCAUUAGACCACUCUCUCACUAUCAAUAGAGCUCCUAGACCUCGUCGAUAAAAACGCCGACCUCUGAUUUUUGUCUUUAUCUCAUAUCUUGGUUGUUCGAGUUGCUGGUUUGCUGUUUGCUGUUGCUGUUUGUCGUGGUUGGAAUUGCAAUGUUGCAAUGUUGCAUUCUACCAAUCAUAUGAUGCAGUAAUAAUAAUAAUAAUUAAUAGUUUGUAUAACAUAUUCCGCUUGUUUGUUUAAUAACCUUUCUUCCGUUUGCACAUUCCCGCCUCCUAACUUACUUUCUCAACAUUCUUUUUAAAUGUCAACGAUUUUUUUGGUUUAUGUUUUCUUUUUAACAGAGCAACAAACAAAGAAAUGCACAACAGGAGCAAAUGUUCGAUACUUCAGGAUACUUGGAUACUGUCCUUCACUUUCCCUUCUAUUUGUUUUUAUAUUUUUUAUUUUUUUCGGGACCUGGCCAACAAAGCGUUUUCUGUUUACUUCCGUGCUUAGAGUAGGUAUCUUUCGGUUGGUUCGAUUUCCCGAAACUUUUUCGAAAACUUGAGCAGUUUGGUUCACUAACUUAUUUGGUACAUUUUUCGUUACUAUGUGGUUGCUAUAUGAGAGUUAUCUAUCAAAGUGUCAAGCCGAGUAUUUUCUAGAAAGCUAUUCAUACUUAUAGGUUAAUUUUCAUGUUUCGAGUUUCAAGUUUGAUACUGAAGGAUGCACAAGGAUGUCUGAUAAAGAUUUCUGACCGAUUGCUUUGGAGGAGUGUCGGGUGUCAGGUCGGUCUUUAAUCCUAGACUGGAUGCUCCUAACCUACUUACAUGGCUAUACACAUACAGUUCUAGAGUUCCUAGAGAAGAAGUUCCGAGAAGUUUCAGUUUCAAGUUUCUUUGAGAGAGCCAGCGAUAGAAGUCCUGUCAAAAAGUUCGUUGUACACAAAAGCAGAAAACUCAGGCACAAAUUAAAAUCAAUAGCUGUGGAAAUCAGAGUAUAGAAAAUCAUAAAAAAAAAGGCAACACAAAGAUUUUGUUUUUAACUUUAACUAAUCAUGUGGUUUCUCUUUUAUUAUAGUUUUAGAUUUUAGCAUUUUUUUCUUUUCACUUUCCUAUAUAUUAUUAGAUGGUACAUAUACAUAUGUAGUUUAUACGCUAAGCUAAUUAUUUUGUUUAACAAUAAAUGUAUAGCUGCUUGGCUCCUCCUCCGUCUUCUUGGGGUCAUCUCUACCUCCAGCUUAGUUUUUAUUAUUAUUUUUUUUUUUUUUAUUUAUUUCUCUUACGGAUAACAACGAAAUUUUUUAGUUGCAGCUUCUUUGCAUUAAGGAACAGAAAAUGAUAAGGAAAUUCUAUUUCGAAAGAUAAACAUAAACUUAAUUGAGGUGAAAAUUCAAAUCAAAAAUCAUAUUCAACAAAUUUUCAAUAAUUAAAAUUACGAAAUAAUAAUAAUUGACUUUCUAAAUUAAAGGUUCAUCUAUAUCUUUUUAUUAUUAUUACUUUUUAUUCUGGGGACUUGGUGGUGGAUUUAGUCGAAGAGUUUAACCCAAAUUUUGCAGAACAAAAUUAUAGAUAUAAGACUCGCCCCAAUUCUGGCAGCAGAUUUCUGGGUUUACUUCUGGGUCAAGGGCCAUUUGUGAUGUCCAGUCCGUCAUAUGGUUGGUUGGUUGGUUGAUUGGUUGGUUGGUCAGUAGCUUCUGCUUUCAAUUGAGAUUUCUAACAUAAUUAAAACACAUUCAAUUAAGCACUCCAAAGCAAGGCGACAUUCAUCAGCAGAAUGGAAGAUAAGCGUUUCAAAAUGGAUCAUAAACUAGCUCUAAAGUUUGCCUCGGAGAUUCACUUGCUUUGGCGAUUCCAUUUCGAGAGCUUCACGGAUGACGAGAAGAUGUCUACCUGAAUAUCCUAUAUAGUAUAGUACGAUCUGAGGGGGAAAGUGAAUGGAAGCUACGUGUCGCGUCCUUAAGUCCGUGUGAUAUUCAUGUUUUGGGGGCCGUCGUCGUUGUCUGUUCAUUUAUUGCUUCUUCGGGUACUUGUUUCUUUAUUAUAGACUAUUUGUAAUGGCACAAAAUAUACAGCAUUCAAUUCUCUCUUAACCGGUUGUCAUCGCGAUCAUCGAUCAUUGUCCCUUCUGUAGCGGUUCGGUUAUUGUACCAGUUAUCGUACAAUGGUUACUCCUUAACUAUAUUUAAAGGCUAUAUGCUAUGCUUUGUCGGUCUCCCCCGGUUGACUUUACUUUCGCUUUCUUUGUUGGCUGCUUCCGGCUCCUGGUUUCUUGGCUCCCGGCUCCCGGCUCUCUCUCUCCGUCUGGUCUGGUCUGGUGUGGAUUGAUUUGGUUCGGUUUUGGUUCCCUGCCACGCUGCCACACUGCCACGCCCUCUCUCUGCUGUCUCCUUUUCCAGCUUCCUCUUUACCAAUAUUGCCCGACAACUCUGCGGCCAGCACUCGACGAGGCUUAUGCUCCUCCUUCCUUCUCCUCCAUUGCGUCCACUCAUUAUUUCUGGUUUAUUAUUCAUAUUUUUGUUUUUGUCAACUACUUUAUGUCCACUAGAUUAGGUUGCUAUUUAUAUUUAUCUUAGGUAUGCCGUUAUGUGUAUGUAGUUUUUUUUUUUUUUUGUUUGCUUGGUUUCUAUAUAUCCGGAAUACUCCGGCUGGCUUUACCGCGGACGCGAAC
Long non-coding RNA from Drosophila ananassae, 3011 nucleotides. RefSeq lists it as uncharacterized. The record is from RefSeq and is a predicted model, not a curated record. The transcript is spliced from 2 exons. NCBI's taxonomy places the organism in Eukaryota, Metazoa, Arthropoda, Insecta, Diptera, Drosophilidae.